AACCAACUACAAUCCGACGACCUCCAGAAACUCGCGCACCCUUUAAUCCCCAAACUCCAAACCUACCAUGGGAGGCUGUGCGAGCAAACCUAAGGAGUUCGACGGCCCUGCCGACGCUCCUAUAAGCUCUGACACCACUGCUCAGGUACAUAAAUUACACUAAGUACCUUCAAGUUGUAUGAUGUUAUUUCAUUAUAAACUAUUUGUCAUCCAUAUCUCUAACUAAAUGCAGAGCAACACUAACGGAGGUGAGAGUCAGAUUAAGAAACCUGCGGUAGAUGGUUCUGAACCGGAAAAGGAGGCUCAAACGGCUGUUUCUGCAGAAACAGACGCUGGUAAGAGCGUGAAACCAGCGGAGGAUGACGCUAAAGCCGAC
This 376-nucleotide long non-coding RNA is filed under the name Gossypium raimondii (Peruvian cotton). Its description in RNAcentral is "long non-coding RNA (GRAI_LNC002909)". The record is from RNAcentral. Lineage: Eukaryota; Viridiplantae; Streptophyta; Magnoliopsida; Malvales; Malvaceae.